AAUACUUGUGCUUUCCCUCCAUCUAGCACUGUGCCUCCAGGAGAGAGGGUUUUUUUCUGGUCGCCCCUGCAGACAUGACCCUGCUUGUCCCUGGCCAAUCCCAGGGCCAGACUGGAUUGUUGGCCCUCUGACUCACCCUAGAAGGCCUGGGGCUGGAGAGGCCUGGAACUCCUCGGAGAAGCCAAAGAUUUUGCAGAAUCAAGGAUGGAUGGAGUAUCAAAAUAAGGAACGGAAAAAACUGAAGAUAUACUAAGGAUUAAGGCCCAGGUUCAUCUAGUGUCCCCAGGUGCCAGGCAUUGUGCUGUGACUGUGAUGUGAAAAAAGAGGCCAGGACAACUGGGUCUCAUUCAGUCAGACUGGAGUGCAGUGGUGUGA
This 375-nucleotide long non-coding RNA is filed under the name Homo sapiens (human). RNAcentral describes it as "non-protein coding lnc-CACNA1D-3:2". Lineage: Eukaryota; Metazoa; Chordata; Mammalia; Primates; Hominidae. The record is from RNAcentral.